RNAcentral lists this ribosomal RNA (492 nucleotides) under uncultured bacterium. Its description in RNAcentral is "partial 16S ribosomal RNA". It matches the Rfam family "Bacterial small subunit ribosomal RNA", at positions 29 to 507 of the family's 1533-position model. The record is from RNAcentral.
AGUGAACGCUGGCGGUAGGCCUAACACAUGCAAGUCGAACGGCAGCACAGUAAGAGCUUGCUCUUACGGGUGGCGAGUGGCGGACGGGUGAGGAAUACAUCGGAAUCUACUUUUUCGUGGGGGAUAACGUAGGGAAACUUAUGCUAAUACCGCAUACGACCUACGGGUGAAAGCAGGGGAUCUUCGGACCUUGCGCGAUUGAAUGAGCCGAUGUCGGAUUAGCUAGUUGGCGGGGUAAAGGCCCACCAAGGCGACGAUCCGUAGCUGGUCUGAGAGGAUGAUCAGCCACACUGGAACUGAGACACGGUCCAGACUCCUACGGGAGGCAGCAGUGGGGAAUAUUGGACAAUGGGCGCAAGCCUGAUCCAGCCAUACCGCGUGGGUGAAGAAGGCCUUCGGGUUGUAAAGCCCUUUUGUUGGGAAAGAAAAGCAGCAGGUUAAUACCCCGCUGUUCUGACGGUACCCAAAGAAUAAGCACCGGCUAACUUCUUG